Long non-coding RNA from Aedes albopictus (Asian tiger mosquito), 766 nucleotides. RefSeq lists it as uncharacterized. The record is from RefSeq and is a predicted model, not a curated record. Lineage: Eukaryota; Metazoa; Arthropoda; Insecta; Diptera; Culicidae. The transcript is spliced from 2 exons.
GCCGUUCGCAAUGCUGUUUUAUUUCGUAUGGCGAGUUUUAAAAUAAAACUGGAACUAAAACAGCACGUCCACAAUGCUGAGUUGCAGUUUUAUUUUUCGAGCACUUAUUUGAAACUCAUUUACAACUGCUCGACAGGUUUGUUUUAAAUUGUGGUUGAUUUAAAACUGGAAUUCAACUUUGUUUUAUUUUCAAACUUGUCAUUCUUGCGUUGUAUGUGUGUGCUGUGACGAUGUUUUUAUUGAUUUCAACUGGCAGGCAGCUCCGUCAACAAUAUGAAAAGUGAAAUGCCGAGAAUGAAUUGCAUUAUUUCUUUGGCAAUUUUGUGCGGGAAGUGAUACCCCGUUGGAACCGGUCGUCAGCAGCAGAUAUCAGAGCACAUAUUUAUCAUAGCAGGUGGCUUCAGAUAACGCUGCACUUGGUCCACUCACCGUGAUCUCUGCGCUUUACCGCUUCCCACGGAUGGGUCUGCAGGAGCCGGAGCUUCCCCCGGCAAAUGACGAUACGGAGGACGACGACCGAUCAAUCCGGAUCGAUGCGGGCAUAUGAAUCACCAUCACACGCCACCCAGCACACCAUCGCCCGGGCUUUCGGUUGGAAAAUGGGCCAAAAUUGCAGUUGAGCGAUUACGGAAAUCAGAAAGGGGCGGUUACGGAUGCCGCCUACUAGGUCGUUUACAUCAGUGUGACGGCAGGAGGAAUCGUCGAAAGGAGGAGUGAAAUGUACGUUUUUACCCACGUUUGGGCUAAUUAAAUUACGCAAACAUUA